Molecule: long non-coding RNA, 1190 nt
Filed under: Homo sapiens (human)
Lineage: Eukaryota; Metazoa; Chordata; Mammalia; Primates; Hominidae
Description: long intergenic non-protein coding RNA 658
Source: RNAcentral
ACCGCUCUCCAAGGACUCUCGAGCAGCUCCAUCUACAGAUUCACAUGGAGAAGAAUUAAGGGUUCCUGCCAAUCACCAGCACCACUUUGCCAGCCUUACAGUUGGCAUCUGUGUGAAGAUGUGAAUGGAGGAGGCAGAGUAGGCAGUGAGUGCCGCAGCCACAGCUUGUGUUCUCUGCAGCCCUGGCACAGAAGAUAGGAACACUCAUGGGGGAUGCGGCCACUGUGAUGUCUUCCCACACAAGAAGUGCCAAGUGCUUUUCUCAUGCUUUUCUGGAUUGUCCCAUGGUGGACGAGUCAGCAGGAGUGAGAUGGAGCAGCACAGUAGAGGGGUACCUGGCAAGGCCCGGAGGGAGGACCCCCUGCCCCAAACAUUUCAAUGAUAUCAGGUGACAGCCGUGAUCCUCUUAGCACCUGCUCUGUUUUGUCCCAGGCCAGGAUAUCGUUGUACAUAUUCUCAGCUAAGUGAGCACCAAUAGAGGAGAGGGAGAGUCUCAUGGAAGUUCCUUCUAAGCCUUUGGCUCUUUUUACCUUCAACAAGGUUCCUUAGAUCCUGGGAUGAGGAGGUGGACCAGCAGAAGGUGGGCUUGUGAAGGCAGCCCGGGGUCCAAAUCCUCCUGGCUCUUCAGCUUAGCGGGUUAGUUAACAUUCAGAAGCCUUCAUCUCCCAUCUGCAAAAUGGGCAUGUCCAACUCAGAAGCUGCCUUGAAGAAAGGGUCUACCCAGCAUGGUGCGUGGAGCCUAAGCAGUCAGUACUUCAGGACUUCACCCGGCCCCUUUCCAAUAACUGCUGCUGUCGCCCUCACAGGAUGUCACCUUCAGCGUCUGAAAGCUGGGUUUGAUGCGUCUGGAAAGGCGUCCCUGACAGGCGUCGUUGCCAGGAGCCCCUAGUGCCACCAGCAGCCAGCAGGGGAGGGCGUCCUCUGCCCGCUCACUUCUGACCCUUCUCUCGUUGCACCCGGAACAUGGUGCAGCUGGGAGCAGCCUGGGCUGCGCGGAAGGCUCAGAUUUGGGGACGGCCCUUGCCAGUGACUGUGAGCUGGGGUGUCUUGGAAACUCCCAGUCUCAGCUUCUCCAUUUAUAAGAUGAGAAUGAUCAUACCAGACUCAGGCAAGGUUGUUUGUGCAUUAGUGAAAUCAGACGUAUUAAAUAAAGUACCACAUUGAUCGUGGAGUUGUUGAAUAACCAAGAA